Molecule: ribosomal RNA, 292 nt
Filed under: uncultured bacterium
Lineage: Bacteria
Description: partial 16S ribosomal RNA
Source: RNAcentral
GGACUACCCGGGUAUCUAAUCCUGUUUGCUCCCCACGCUUUCGCGCCUCAGCGUCAGUCUCGGUCCAGAGCGCCGCCUUCGCCACCGGUGUUCUUCCCAAUAUCUACGAAUUUCACCUCUACACUGGGAAUUCCACGCUCCUCUCCCGAACUCCAGCACCCCAGUCUCGCGCGCACCUCCCGGGUUGAGCCCGGGGCUUUCACACGCAACUUGGGCCGCCGCCUACGCGCCCUUUACGCCCAGUAAAUCCGAACAACGCUCGCCCCCUUCGUAUUACCGCGGCUGCUGGCAC